This 349-nucleotide long non-coding RNA is filed under the name Phaseolus vulgaris (common bean). RNAcentral describes it as "long non-coding RNA (PVUL_LNC004267)". The record is from RNAcentral. Lineage: Eukaryota; Viridiplantae; Streptophyta; Magnoliopsida; Fabales; Fabaceae.
UUGUAUUUUAGGUUAAUUGUUUACCUCUCUUGUUUUUGUUUCAUAUUGUUCUCCGUCGAUCUACCUUUCCUUCCUUCUGCUUCAACAAUCUCCUUGUACUUCCCUCGUUUCUCUAAUUCUCAUCUCCGUGAACUUCAAGUUCGGAUGGUACCUGCAAAAGACACUUCAACGUUUAAGUAAUAUGUCGGUAUUCUACCCUUAGAGUUAUUAGUAAUGAAUGAUGACGUACUUGAUUAUUGAAAUUUGUUGCCUAUUUAUAUGAUUAUUAUAGGUCUUUUGUUAUCGCUCGGAUUAAAGAUUUGGUUUGUAAUUAAAAAUGUAUUACCUAGUGUUUGAUCACUGAUUAGUU